RNAcentral lists this long non-coding RNA (702 nucleotides) under Capra hircus (goat). Its description in RNAcentral is "lncRNA (ENSCHIG00010030146.1)". Lineage: Eukaryota; Metazoa; Chordata; Mammalia; Artiodactyla; Bovidae. The record is from RNAcentral.
AUGCCAGGCAUCCACUCUAGGCCACGAGCAGAGCCAGGCCGGGAAUCUUCCCCACCUGUCUUGGGUGGAGCACGCAGAGAGCUGUGGGCCAGACCGGCGGGUGGGGGACGCUCAGAACUUUCCCGCGGCCGCGCCGAGACCAGGGAGCCGGUCUCUCGCUUGCAGCGAAGGCCCGGCGAGAAUUCGGCCGCCUUCCACUUUCUCACUCCACCUUCGGGCCGUUCCUCAGGGAGUCUGACCCGGGCGGCCUGCCGCCGGGGAGCCGAGUCACUGAGAAGAUUCGCGGCGCACAAACAGACCCCGAUAUACACACGAACACGCACACUCCACGCGUCUUCCGGCGGACAGGCCCGCGCUCUCCUGCCUCCGCGGUCCCAGGAUCCCAACCUCGACAGAGCCCCUACUGCUGGAGGGUGUCCAGUCUGGAGCCCCUCACCGCCCUGGAUGGAGAAGGCACUCUCCCCGGCUCUGGUGCCCACCGACUGCCACCUCCACUGUUUCCAGCCCUCGGCACGGCAGGACCUGAGGUCAGGAAGGCCCAGCUUCCUUCUGGGGGUGCUCCAGCUCACUCAGGACCUCUCCAUGCUCCCUCCCUCAGCUCAGGAGGUGAUUAAAAUUGUGGAGCACCCUUCAGACUCUGGGAUCACACCCUCGCCAGCCAGCCUGCCAGCCCAGGGAAGGAGGAGAUUGAGGCUGUGGGCU